AUUGAUUCAAUGUUGUUUACGCUUCGUGAUAUCCGACAUUUGUAUGGUGAAGCAUAACACUUUGAUCAUUAAUAUUACAUAAAAUGUUGAUCAAUUAUUUAUUUAUUUAUAAUAUGUAUCUUGGAUGUUUGAUAUUGUUUGAGUUUCGUGACCGACAAUAGUCUGGUGAAGCAUCAUUAUGCUUCGUGACCGACACCUGUAUGGUGAAACAUCGACACUUUGAUCAUCCAAAAGAA
RNAcentral lists this long non-coding RNA (236 nucleotides) under Trifolium pratense (red clover). RNAcentral's name for it is "long non-coding RNA (TPRA_LNC013096)". Lineage: Eukaryota; Viridiplantae; Streptophyta; Magnoliopsida; Fabales; Fabaceae. The record is from RNAcentral.